RNAcentral lists this ribosomal RNA (433 nucleotides) under uncultured bacterium. RNAcentral's name for it is "partial 16S ribosomal RNA". It matches the Rfam family "Bacterial small subunit ribosomal RNA", at positions 29 to 507 of the family's 1533-position model. The record is from RNAcentral.
AACGAACGCUGGCGGCAUGCCUAACACAUGCAAGUCGAACGAUGCCUUCGGGUCUAGUGGCGCACGGGUGCGUAACGCGUGGGAACCUGCCCUUAGGUUCGGAAUAACUCCCCGAAAGGGGUGCUAAUACCGGAUAAUGUCUUCGGACCAAAGAUUUAUCGCCUUUGGAUGGGCCCGCGUUGGAUUAGCUAGUUGGUAGGGUAAAAGCCUACCAAGGCGACGAUCCAUAGCUGGUCUGAGAGGAUGAUCAGCCACACUGGGACUGAGACACGGCCCAGACUCCUACGGGAGGAAGCAGUGGGGAAUAUUGGACAAUGGGCGAAAGCCUGAUCCAGCAAUGCCGCGUGAGUGAUGAAGGCCUUAGGGUUGUAAAGCUCUUUUACCCGGGAUGAUAAUGACAGUACCGGGAGAAUAAGCUCCGGCUAACUCCGUG